Molecule: long non-coding RNA, 822 nt
Organism: Dermacentor silvarum
Lineage: Eukaryota; Metazoa; Arthropoda; Arachnida; Ixodida; Ixodidae
Exons: 3
Source: RefSeq, a predicted model, not a curated record
ACAAUGAAGGCCCAGCCGUGAAAACUGUGCACCAGUGGCGCGCCUUCUGGAACAAGGAGACGCACGACGCCCGCCACGACGCCGCUGUUCACGCCGCAGAGCACAGGGGCACUGGGGGUGGCAAGUUGCCUGGACUGCGCGGGCGUAUCCUUUCGCUGGUAGGGGUAGCCAGUGCAAUUGGAGUAUGCCCCAAUUUUUUUGAAGACGCCGAAGAGGUAGGUAAUGUGUUGCAUUUGUUUCGGACCUUUUACCGAGUAAAUUCCGUACAGUUCGCGAGAUGCCGCAUAGAAUUGCACCGGAGGCGUUGUAAUCACUUAAUUCAGGGGUGCAAUGCACGUUUUCGCCAUCAAGCAGUGUGUUCAUUGCGAGUGAUAUUUGUUUUAGUUAUGAUUUUUAAAGAUUUUGAUAUUGUUGUAUAAGCGAGAACGCGCUUUCACUAUUGUAGCAAUGACAUUGAACGCGCUUUCCCUAGGCGACAUCAGACAGCUCAUGAAAACAGUGAGAAGUUAUAAUUAUCGGUGCGGCGAAAAGCUGUGUACCAGGCAGCCAAAGGAGCUUUAGUAAAGCCAACAUUUUCAGCCAUAUGAAAUGCGUUUUAAUGCUUUUUUCCACCAAUGAGAAGUAAACAAUGCUAUCUGCACAGGUCAGCGAAGAGCCAAGAGCUGCCGAGAGCCGGCCCAGCGGUAGUGUGUCCGUUGGUGAACAACCGGGUACGAGUGGGAUUCAAGCACGCCUGCAGCAGCAGCCUCAGCAGCCCGUGAAGCGACCCGCGCCUUCGGAAGGCGAAGAUGGCGGUAGUAGGAAACGUGAGUGAAACCUCUA